Molecule: transfer RNA, 72 nt
Filed under: Otolemur garnettii (small-eared galago)
Lineage: Eukaryota; Metazoa; Chordata; Mammalia; Primates; Galagidae
Rfam family: tRNA
About the family: Transfer RNA (tRNA) molecules are approximately 80 nucleotides in length. Their secondary structure includes four short double-helical elements and three loops (D, anti-codon, and T loops).
Source: Rfam by way of RNAcentral
GGCCUGUGGCUCAGUGGGUAGGGCACCAGCCCCAUAUACUGAGGGUUGUGGGUUCAAACCCGGCCCAGGCCA